RNAcentral lists this ribosomal RNA (252 nucleotides) under uncultured bacterium. RNAcentral's name for it is "partial 16S ribosomal RNA". It matches the Rfam family "Bacterial small subunit ribosomal RNA", at positions 524 to 776 of the family's 1533-position model. The record is from RNAcentral.
UACGUAGGGUGCGAGCGUUAAUCGGAAUUACUGGGCGUAAAGCGUGCGUAGGCGGUCCGCAAAGUCUGAUGUGAAAGCCCCGGGCUCAACCUGGGAACUGCAUUGGAAACUAACGGGCUCGAGUGUGCAGAGGGGGGUGGAAUUCCACGUGUAGCAGUGAAAUGCGUAGAGAUGUGGAGGAACACCGAUGGCGAAGGCAGCCCCCUGGGCUAACACUGACGCUCAGGCACGAAAGCGUGGGGAGCAAACAGG